This 18-nucleotide small RNA is filed under the name Arabidopsis thaliana (thale cress). Its description in RNAcentral is "ATSL294930". The record is from RNAcentral. Lineage: Eukaryota; Viridiplantae; Streptophyta; Magnoliopsida; Brassicales; Brassicaceae.
AAAAAAACAAUAAAAAAA